GCCAGUAUGGUGUAAUGGUUUGAGUGUUGGACUAAGACUCUGGAGAUCAGGGUUCAAACCCAUAUUCAGCCA
Phrynosoma platyrhinos (Desert horned lizard) is the source of this 72-nucleotide non-coding RNA. The record is from the annotation of a GenBank genome assembly. Lineage: Eukaryota; Metazoa; Chordata; Lepidosauria; Squamata; Phrynosomatidae.